UGGCCCAACCUAUUCAGUUAGU
RNAcentral lists this microRNA (22 nucleotides) under Homo sapiens (human). RNAcentral describes it as "hsa-miR-3136-3p". Lineage: Eukaryota; Metazoa; Chordata; Mammalia; Primates; Hominidae. The record is from miRBase by way of RNAcentral.